GUGGGUGUAGCUCAGCCGGUAGAGCACCUGGUUGUGAUCCAGGAUGUCGCGGGUUCAAGUCCCGUCACUCACCCCA
RNAcentral lists this transfer RNA (76 nucleotides) under Actinomycetes bacterium. RNAcentral describes it as "tRNA-His". It matches the Rfam family "tRNA". From Rfam's summary of the family: Transfer RNA (tRNA) molecules are approximately 80 nucleotides in length. Lineage: Bacteria; Bacillati; Actinomycetota; Actinomycetes. The record is from RNAcentral.